This 1073-nucleotide ribosomal RNA is filed under the name uncultured bacterium. RNAcentral's name for it is "bacterial SSU rRNA". It matches the Rfam family "Bacterial small subunit ribosomal RNA", at positions 327 to 1401 of the family's 1533-position model. The record is from RNAcentral.
CGGUUCAAACUCCUACGGGAGGCAGCAGUGAGGAAUAUUGGUCAAUGGGCGAUGGCCUGAACCAGCCAAGUAGCGUGCGGGAUGACGGCCCUAUGGGAAGUAAACCGCUUUUGCAGGGGAAUAAAGUGCGGUACGCGUACCGUUUUGUAUGUACCCUGAGAAUAAGGACCGGCUAAUUCCGUGCCAGCAGCCGCGGUAAUACGGAAGGUCCGGGCGUUAUCCGGAUUUAUUGGGUUUAAAGGGAGCGCAGGCCGGAGGUCAAGCGUGACGUGAAAUGUAGCCGCUCAACGGCUGAACUGCGUCGCGAACUGGCUUUCUUGAGUGAGUUCGAUGUGGGCGGAAUUCGUGGUGUAGCGGUGAAAUGCUUAGAUAUCACGAGGAACUCCGAUUGCGAAGGCAGCCCACAAGGCCUUUACUGACGCUAAAGCUCGAAGGUGCGGGUAUCGAACAGGAUUAGAUACCCUGGUAGUCCGCACGGUAAACGAUGGAUGCCCGCUGUUUGCGAUAUACAGUAAGCGGCCAAGAGAAAUCGUUAAGCAUCCCACCUGGGGAGUACGCCGGCAACGGUGAAACUCAAAGGAAUUGACGGGGGCCCGCACAAGCGGAGGAACAUGUGGUUUAAUUCGAUGAUACGCGAGGAACCUUACCCGGGCUUGAACUGCAGCGGAAGGAGACAGAGAUGUUGAGGCCCUUCGGGGCGCCUGUGGAGGUGCUGCAUGGUUGUCGUCAGCUCGUGCCGUGAGGUGUCGGCUUAAGUGCCAUAACGAGCGCAACCCCUUUCUCCAGUUGCCAUCAGGUUAUGCUGGGCACUCUGGAGACACUGCCACCGUAAGGUGUGAGGAAGGUGGGGAUGACGUCAAAUCAGCACGGCCCUUACGUCCGGGGCUACACACGUGUUACAAUGGGUGGUACAGAGAGUCGGUGCAUCGCAAGUUGCAUCUAAUCAUGAAAGCCAUCCUCAGUUCGGAUUGGGGUCUGCAACCCGACCCCAUGAAGCUGGAUUCGCUAGUAAUCGCGCAUCAGCCAUGGCGCGGUGAAUACGUUACCGGGCCUUGUACUCACCGCCCGUCAAG